CUGCAUGUGGGAAUGUCUGUUUUUUAUUCAGUUAAGAGGAUGAAUACAUCUAUAACAUGCUAUGUUAAAAGAAGAAAUCUUAGGAGGGCCAGGCUUAUGAUAUAAUUGAGUAGAAGUCUCCUACAUAA
This is a small nucleolar RNA of Tupaia belangeri (northern tree shrew), 128 nucleotides long. The record is from Ensembl. Lineage: Eukaryota; Metazoa; Chordata; Mammalia; Scandentia; Tupaiidae.